Molecule: ribosomal RNA, 440 nt
Filed under: uncultured bacterium
Lineage: Bacteria
Description: partial 16S ribosomal RNA
Rfam family: Bacterial small subunit ribosomal RNA
Source: RNAcentral
CCUACGGGCGGCAGCAGUGGGGAAUAUUGCACAAUGGGGGAAACCCUGAUGCAGCGACGCCGCGUGAGUGAAGAAGUACUUCGUUAUGUAAAGCUCUAUCAGCAGGGAAGAAAAUGACGGUACCUGAGUAAGAAGCCCCGGCUAACUACGUGCCAGCAGCCGCGGUAAUACGUAGGGGGCAAGCGUUCUCCGGAUUGACUGGGUGUAAAGGGAGCGUAGACGGCAGUGCAAGUCUGGAGUGAAAGGCGGGGGCUCAACCCACGGAUGGCUCUGGAAACUGGACGGCUGGAGUGCAGGAGAGGUGAGUGGAAUUCCUAGUGGAGCGGUGAAAUGCGUAGAUAGUAGGAGGAAAACCAGUGGCGAAGGCGGCUUACUGGACUGUAACUGACGUUGAGGCUCGAAAGCGUGGGGAGCAAACAGGAUUAGAUACCCUGGUAGUC